AGCGUUUGCUCGGUCCUGCGCUUGUG
RNAcentral lists this non-coding RNA (26 nucleotides) under Mus musculus (house mouse). Lineage: Eukaryota; Metazoa; Chordata; Mammalia; Rodentia; Muridae. The record is from RNAcentral.